CAAAAAAAGAAAAUGGAAUUGAUCAAGCACAAAGGCUAGGAGAGUGGUCCAUUACAUCAAUCGAUACUUCAGAGUACUUAUGACCAACUUAUGUAUCAAUCCAAAGCACCUUAAAUGAUCCAUGAUCAAUUAGGAGGUAGAUUUGAAAUAAUGAAAGUUCAUCCAGCACCAAUCCAUACAUCAUGAACAAGAUGGACACAAAUCAUCCAAUUGAUCAAGAGGAAAAGAAAGAGACGAAGAAGAAGAUGACAAGAG
RNAcentral lists this long non-coding RNA (255 nucleotides) under Lathyrus oleraceus (garden pea). Its description in RNAcentral is "Pisum sativum (pea) long non-coding RNA (PSAT_LNC038120)". Lineage: Eukaryota; Viridiplantae; Streptophyta; Magnoliopsida; Fabales; Fabaceae. The record is from RNAcentral.